This 552-nucleotide ribosomal RNA is filed under the name uncultured bacterium. RNAcentral's name for it is "partial 16S ribosomal RNA". It matches the Rfam family "Bacterial small subunit ribosomal RNA", at positions 355 to 900 of the family's 1533-position model. The record is from RNAcentral.
UGGGGAAUUUUGGACAAUGGGCGCAAGCCUGAUCCAGCCAUGCCGCGUGCGGGAAGAAGGCCUUCGGGUUGUAAACCGCUUUUGUCAGGGAAGAAAUCUUCUGAGUUAAUACCUCGGGAGGAUGACGGUACCUGAAGAAUAAGCACCGGCUAACUACGUGCCAGCAGCCGCGGUAAUACGUAGGGUGCAAGCGUUAAUCGGAAUACUGGGCGUAAAGCGUGCGCAGGCGGUUUUGUAAGACAGAGGUGAAAUCCCCGGGCUCAACCUGGGAACUGCCUUUGUGACUGCAAGGCUUGAGUGCGGCAGAGGGGGGAUGGAAUUCCGCGUGUAGCAGUGAAAUGCGUAGAUAUGCGGAGGAACACCGAUGGCGAAGGCAAUCCCCUGGGCCUGCACUGACGCUCAUGCACGAAAGCGUGGGGAGCAAACAGGAUUAGAUCCCUGGUAGUCCACGCCCUAAACGAUGUCAACUGGGUUGUUGGGAAGGUUCCUUCUCAGUAACGUAGCUAACGCGUGAAGUUGACCGCCUGGGGAGUACGGCCGCAAGGUUGAAAC